This 466-nucleotide ribosomal RNA is filed under the name uncultured bacterium. RNAcentral describes it as "partial 16S ribosomal RNA". It matches the Rfam family "Bacterial small subunit ribosomal RNA", at positions 28 to 507 of the family's 1533-position model. The record is from RNAcentral.
GACGAACGCUGGCGGUGUGCUUAACACAUGCAAGUCGAACGGUAAGGCCCUUUCGGGGGUACACGAGUGGCGAACGGGUGAGUAACACGUGAGUAACCUGCCCUCAUCUCUGGGAUAACAGUCGGAAACGGUUGCUAAUACUGGAUAUGAGCUUGCAAGGCAUCUUGUGGGUUGGAAAGAUUUUUUUGGUUGGGGUUGGACUCGCGGCCUAUCAGCUUGUUGGUGAGGUAGUGGCUCACCAAGGCUUCGACGGGUAGCCGGCCUGAGAGGGCGACCGGCCACAUUGGGACUGAGAUACGGCCCAAACUCCUACGGGAGGCAGCAGUGGGGAAGAUUGCACAAGGGACGGAAGGCGGAUGCAGCAACGCCGCGUGCGGGAUGACGGCCUUCGGGUUGUAAACCGCUUUCAAUUGUGACGAAGCUUUUUGUGACGGUAGCAGUAGAAGAAGCACCGGCUAACUACGUG